This 251-nucleotide ribosomal RNA is filed under the name uncultured bacterium. RNAcentral's name for it is "partial 16S ribosomal RNA". It matches the Rfam family "Bacterial small subunit ribosomal RNA", at positions 524 to 776 of the family's 1533-position model. The record is from RNAcentral.
UACGGAGGGUGCAAGCGUUGUCCGGAAUCACUGGGCGUAAAGGGCGCGUAGGCGGCUCAUGAAGGCUGUGGUGAAAGUCCGGGGCUCAACCUCGGAUCGGCCGUGGCGACUCGUGGGCUGGAGCACUGUAGAGGCGGGUGGAAUUCCGGGUGUAGCGGUGGAAUGCGUAGAGAUCCGGAAGAACACCAGUGGCGAAGGCGGCCCGCUGGGCAGUGGCUGACGCUGAAGCGCGACAGCGUGGGAGCAACAGG